UUAGGAUACAGUGGCGGACGGGUGCGUAACGCGUGAACAAUCUGUCCCAAUGAGGGGGAUAACAUAUCCGGAAACGGGUGCUUAUACCGCAUAAGGACCCGGGAAUCGCAUGGUGCCGAGGUGAACGGAGAAAUCCGCAUAGGGGUGAGUUCGCGUCACCAUUAGAUAGUUGGUGGGGAUAGACGGCCUACCAAGUCUGACAGAUGGGUAGCCGACAUCUGAGAGGAUGACCGGCCACACUGGAACUGAGAAACUGGUCCAAGACUCCUACAGGGAGGCAGCAGUGGGGAAUAUUGCGGCAAUGGGCGAAAGCCUGACCCAGCAACGCCUGCGUGAGGGAAGAAGGCCUUCGGGUCUGUAAACCUCUGUCGCAGUGGGACGACGAAGGAGACGGUACCCUGCAAGGAAAGCCCCGGCUAACUACAGU
RNAcentral lists this ribosomal RNA (427 nucleotides) under uncultured bacterium. RNAcentral's name for it is "bacterial SSU rRNA". It matches the Rfam family "Bacterial small subunit ribosomal RNA", at positions 85 to 507 of the family's 1533-position model. The record is from RNAcentral.